UUUACUUGGUUUCACCAUAUUUACCUGUUCACCAACUUUUAUGUUUAUUUUUAGGAUGGAGCAAGCACAGUAAUCCAAGGCACCAGAGAGGUACUCCACGCCACCAUGUAGAGGAUGGCUACAUAGGGCAAGAAGGCAGAGGUAGGGGGAAGUUUUAGCUCUGCACAUGAAGAACAUUUGGAGAAGAUCAAGUGGCUGACUGAAGAGAAGGUCGAGCUGAGGGCACAGCUGGCUCUACAAUCAGAUUCUACAGGAGCCAUAAGAAAGAAUCUUUCCAGCCGGGAUGCCACUGAUGAGGCUGUCCAGAACCAGGUCCCCAGGUACCAGAAAGGGGCAGCUGACCGUGCAGGUGGGAGAUGACGUGGCAGUACAAUGGACCUGCCGUGAAUAUGAAUGACAUCUCCAACACAACCAAUAUUGCUGCUA
This is a long non-coding RNA of Esox lucius (northern pike), 426 nucleotides long. The record is from Ensembl. NCBI's taxonomy places the organism in Eukaryota, Metazoa, Chordata, Actinopteri, Esociformes, Esocidae.